This 162-nucleotide ribosomal RNA is filed under the name uncultured bacterium. Its description in RNAcentral is "partial 16S ribosomal RNA". It matches the Rfam family "Bacterial small subunit ribosomal RNA", at positions 355 to 509 of the family's 1533-position model. The record is from RNAcentral.
UAGGGAAUCUUCCACAAUGGCGCAAGCCUGAUGGAGCAACACCGCGUGAGUGAAGGAAGGGUUUCGGCUCGUAAAGCUCUGUUGUUGGAGAAGAACGUGCGUGAGAGUAACUGUUCACGCAGUGACGGUAUCAAACCAGAAAGUCACGGCUAACUACGUGCC